CCUACGGGAGGCAGCAGUAGGGAAUAUUGCUCAAUGGGGGAAACCCUGACGCAGCAACGCCGCGUGGAGGAUGAAGGUUUUCGGAUUGUAAACUCCUUUUGUUAGAGAAGAUAAUGACGGUAUCUAACGAAUAAGCACCGGCUAACUCCGUGCCAGCAGCCGCGGUAAUACGGAGGGUGCAAGCGUUACUCGGAAUCACUGGGCGUAAAGAGCGCGUAGGCGGGAUAGCAAGUCAGAUGUGAAAUCCUAUGGCUUAACCAUAGAACUGCAUUUGAAACUGUUAUUCUAGAGUAUGGGAGAGGUAGGUGGAAUUCUUGGUGUAGGGGUAAAAUCCGUAGAGAUCAAGAGGAAUACUCAUGGCGAAGGCGACCUGCUAGAACAUAACUGACGCUGAUGCGCGAAAGCGUGGGGAGCGAACAGGAGUAGAUACCCCAGUAGUC
Molecule: ribosomal RNA, 440 nt
Filed under: uncultured bacterium
Lineage: Bacteria
Description: partial 16S ribosomal RNA
Rfam family: Bacterial small subunit ribosomal RNA
Source: RNAcentral